AAGCAAGCACUAGGGAAGUUGGGCACUUGGUUGGUUAGUGAAGAAAGGUGCAAAUUCUUCCACAGCAAUGGAGUGUUAGGAUCUAGGUGAUUUUUAAGCAUGCUGAUUUUCAAAAUUUUUUCGAAACUAAGGUAGUGGAAGACUGGAUUAAACUCUUUAAUCAAAGCAUGCAAUGAUAAUAUCAUAACACCUAUUUUUGUCAAGAAAAUUAAUAUGCUAGAUCUGAAAUUAUAAAAAAAAAUUAAAUGGUGAACAGAUCACCUUACCUGAUUCGCUUUUCUCUCCUUCU
This 289-nucleotide long non-coding RNA is filed under the name Elaeis guineensis (African oil palm). RNAcentral's name for it is "long non-coding RNA (EGUI_LNC031825)". Lineage: Eukaryota; Viridiplantae; Streptophyta; Magnoliopsida; Arecales; Arecaceae. The record is from RNAcentral.